This is a long non-coding RNA of Cyprinodon tularosa, 243 nucleotides long. RefSeq lists it as uncharacterized. The record is from RefSeq and is a predicted model, not a curated record. The transcript has 3 exons. NCBI's taxonomy places the organism in Eukaryota, Metazoa, Chordata, Actinopteri, Cyprinodontiformes, Cyprinodontidae.
CUGCAACCAUGGAUAAAAUCCAUCUGCAAUCACUUGUGGUACGCCUGUUCCACUUGUGGAGGUGACCCUGAUGGAAGCUUGAAGUAUUCCAUGCAUCUAUGCUGAAAUACACAGAGAAGAGACUGCACUUCCACUACUCAACAAUGAAAGCUCGCACCCAGCUUGCCGUUAUGGACCACAAUGAAAAUGUUCAGCGUGAACAGGCCUACACCAACACAGGACAAGCACGGUUCAAUGUGGUUU